AACGGCCGUACCAUGCUGAAUAUACCGGUUCUCGUUAGAUCACCGAAGUCAAGCAUCAUUGGGCGCGGUCAGUACUUGGGUGGGUAACCACCUGGGAACACUGCGUGCCGUU
RNAcentral lists this ribosomal RNA (112 nucleotides) under Caerostris darwini. The record is from RNAcentral. Lineage: Eukaryota; Metazoa; Arthropoda; Arachnida; Araneae; Araneidae.